GGAAAUGUAAGGUUCUCUAGUUAGUCUGAGGAAAUUUAGGAAAAGCCACUUUGUGCUAGAAUAUCAUUUUAAUAAUCAUUUUAAAAUCGGGUCUUUUGAGCUUAUUCGAAGUUCAAGGAUUCUUUUUUAAAUUGAUGGAAAUUAGUGAAAAUAUGUAAUUAAUUACACCUAAUUUACUUUCUGGCUUCUCUUUGGUAUAGGACAAUGCUUAUACUGGAAUCUUUUCUUUUCCCUAUUCUUACUUGUUCAAGAAGUAAUUCUAUGGGUUAGGUUGAAAACCUAUAAAAGCCAGUGACCUCGAGACUUAUUGAGGACUGUUGAUUUUGGAUCAGAUGAAAAUAAUGGGUAGAAAGGAGCUACACAUUUAAAAAAGACAAGUUAACUCAUUGUCAACUCAUUGUUCAAAACUGUGUCUGGUAUUACUUCAUUAUCGCUUGGCUAAUUUGAGAGUAAUUAUUUAAAAGAGAAAUUAUUAAAAUGUUGUUGGCUUAAGACCUUUGUUUUUCAAUUUAUUCCAUAUUUUUGUUAUAUAAUACUAUUUGCUGAACACCUACUUUUCUGUUUCAGGAAAUGUGCUGGAAGAUUGACCUCAGCCAUCAUGGAGCCCACAGCCAGGGUAGGUCACUGAUCAUAAUGCAAUGUGAUAAAUAUGAUAAUAGGGUAAGCAGAGAAAUAAGAGUGCCUAAUAUAGAGUUGCAAAAAGUAGUUUAGGAAUUCUGAGAUAGUACUCUGAUUUAUCAAAAUAAAAUUAAAGGAUUAACCCACAGCUUUCUGAAAAAGAUUGCAUAAUACUAUAUAUACAUACAAU
This 808-nucleotide long non-coding RNA is filed under the name Marmota monax (woodchuck). The record is from RNAcentral. Lineage: Eukaryota; Metazoa; Chordata; Mammalia; Rodentia; Sciuridae.